GGCCAAUGUUUAGAGACUGUGAAGAAAAAGACCAUGUCUAAAAUAUCCAGUGUGCCCUAAAUAGCACCAGGGCAAGCAUGACCAUGCACACAAUCCUACCGUGGCUGUAGUUCCAAUCACACAGAGAGGACUCUCAUUUGGAAAGAAAGAUCACAGAACUUUAUUAAGAUGGAAUCACUGCAAAUUACAUAGAAGCUACUGGACUAAGCCAAAAUCUAUGAGGUUCAUAUGAACUUACAGUUAUACAAAUAAGAAACAAAUGGCAUAUUCAAAACCAUAAAGAAAUAUCCUGAUGCCCAGGAUCUCAGGACCUGCUCAGCAUCUUUUGCUCAUCCUCCAGUCCCAUGUCUGGCUAUGGUUCCAGAGUCAACAUGAGCAGCAACAGCGACACCUAAUCCACUUCAGGAUCAAAAAGGAUUUGAAUAUUUUGUUUUGUUUUUUAUUUCUCUGUUUUGUUUUACUUGCUUUACUGCGAGUUACUUGAAAACUUUCAGAAUUCUAUUUUGCUUUAUACUGUUUUUGAACAUGUAGCUCUUUGAGUAGAUUUUGUGUAUAUGGCUGCUGUAGUAUUACACCGUAUAUACAAAAUAUCACAGUCUAAUGCUGUCAUUAUUUCAUCAGUUCAAGUGACAUAUAAGCACCUAUCUUUUUAUAAGUCAAUAUACCCCUCUCCGUUUACAAUUGUCUUGAUUUGUUUGUGGUCACCCUACAUAGGAUGAAUCUCUUUCAAAAUUUGAUUUAGAUGUCAAGACUAAUGAUACUAUAUUCACUCCAAGAGAAAAUGGAAUGGUUCAUGACUCAUAUAAUGAGGCUUUCUGAAAAGAGUACUGUGGCUCACAAGCAGUGCCAAAAAAUGGCUUGAGAGAGCAGACAAAAGCUUGGGGUAUUUAUGGCGGUUAGGGAGUAGUAGGGCCAGAGCAUAGGUUCCUGCAUGUGGUUCAAACCUCCCCUGGUUGAAGGAGGGAGAACCCAGGCUUUCUUAUCAGUUUGCCCAGACGUGAAGCAGAAACAGAAGGAGGAAGGAUGAGGCUUCAAAGCUGUCAACCAUCAAACGUCAAAAAAACUGGAUCAAGCUUUGUUACAUCAUUAUUUUAUCUACAUACAUGUAAAGUUUUUCUCUCCAUCUUUUAUGUUAAAUAGAUAUUUUCUAAUGUACCAUUUUAAUUCCCUUGUUUCCUUAAGAUUGUUUUUGAGUUAUUUUUCUUAGUGGUUGCUUUGGGGAUUAUACUUCAUUCUAACUUAAAACAAUCUAGUUCAAGUUAAUAGCAACUUAAUUUUAAUGGUAUAUAAAAACUUUUGCUUCCAUACAGCUCUAUUCUUUUCAUUUCUUUCUUUGUGCAAUUAUCAUCAUAGAAAUUACAUCUUUUUGUACAUCCAUUAACACAGUUUUAUAAUUAUUACUUUAUGGCAUUGACUUUUAAAUCAGAAAUGAGAAAAAAAGAAAAAACAUUAUGCUAUAUUUUAUAUUUAUCUAUGAGGUGCUUGUAUUUCUUCAUGUGGAUUUGACCUACUGAC
RNAcentral lists this long non-coding RNA (1515 nucleotides) under Papio anubis (olive baboon). RNAcentral's name for it is "lncRNA (ENSPANG00000047058.1)". The record is from RNAcentral. Lineage: Eukaryota; Metazoa; Chordata; Mammalia; Primates; Cercopithecidae.